AUUCUCGUCCCCUCUCCCCGCUCGCGGGGAGAGGGUUAGGUGAGGGGCGA
RNAcentral lists this small RNA (50 nucleotides) under Sinorhizobium meliloti 2011. RNAcentral's name for it is "putative ncRNA". The record is from RNAcentral. Lineage: Bacteria; Pseudomonadati; Pseudomonadota; Alphaproteobacteria; Hyphomicrobiales; Rhizobiaceae.